Molecule: long non-coding RNA, 258 nt
Filed under: Equus caballus (horse)
Lineage: Eukaryota; Metazoa; Chordata; Mammalia; Perissodactyla; Equidae
Description: lncRNA (ENSECAG00000056383.1)
Source: RNAcentral
GAACUCUACGGCAGAAGAACGACUCCUCAUUUGUUUGCUGGCUACCUGGAACCUCAGACAGGCCUGGCACUCAGAGUGCUCAAGAAAUAUUUUUGGGGGCCGACCCAGUGGUGCAGCAGUUAAGUGCUCACAUUCUGCUUCCCAGUGGCCCAGGGUUCACGGGUUCAGGUCCCGGGUGCGGACACGGCACCGCUUGGCACACCAUGCUGAGGACCUAAAUGACCACCUGGCAAUUACUUUGCCAGCACAGCAACUCCG